RNAcentral lists this ribosomal RNA (238 nucleotides) under Tuber sp. RNAcentral's name for it is "partial large subunit ribosomal RNA". It matches the Rfam family "Eukaryotic large subunit ribosomal RNA", at positions 104 to 339 of the family's 3401-position model. The record is from RNAcentral. Lineage: Eukaryota; Fungi; Ascomycota; Pezizomycetes; Pezizales; Tuberaceae.
AAAGCUCAAAUUUGAAAUCUGGCACUAUUAGUGUCCGAGUUGUAAUUUGGAGAGGCAACUUCAGGUAGGGUCCAGCCUAUGUUCCUUGGAACAGGACAUCAUAGAGGGUGAGAAUCCCGUUCUUGGCUGGAUGCCCUUGCCAGUAUGUAGUGCCUUCUACGAGUCGAGUUGUUUGGGAAUGCAGCUCAAAAUGGGUGGUAAAUUUCAUCUAAAGCUAAAUAUUGGCGAGAGACCGAUA